UACGUAGGGGGGCUAGCGUUGUCCGGAAUCAUUGGGCGUAAAGCGCGUGUAGGCGGCCCGGUAAGUCCGCUGUGAAAGUCGGGGGCUCAACCCUCGAAUGCCGGUGGAUACUGUCGGGCUAGAGUACGGAAGAGGCGAGUGGAAUUCCUGGUGUAGCGGUGAAAUGCGCAGAUAUCAGGAGGAACACCAAUUGCGAAGGCAGCUCGCUGGGACGUAACUGACGCUGAGACGCGAAAGCGUGGGGAGCAAACAGG
RNAcentral lists this ribosomal RNA (254 nucleotides) under uncultured bacterium. Its description in RNAcentral is "partial 16S ribosomal RNA". It matches the Rfam family "Bacterial small subunit ribosomal RNA", at positions 524 to 776 of the family's 1533-position model. The record is from RNAcentral.